GGACCUUUAGCACAGCUGGUCAGAGCAGCCGGCUCAUAACCGGACGGUCCCGGGUUCGAAUCCCGGAAGGUCCA
Molecule: transfer RNA, 74 nt
Filed under: Caudoviricetes sp.
Lineage: Duplodnaviria; Heunggongvirae; Uroviricota; Caudoviricetes
Description: tRNA-Met
Rfam family: tRNA
About the family: Transfer RNA (tRNA) molecules are approximately 80 nucleotides in length. Their secondary structure includes four short double-helical elements and three loops (D, anti-codon, and T loops). Further hydrogen bonds mediate the characteristic L-shaped molecular structure. tRNAs have two regions of fundamental functional importance: the anti-codon, which is responsible for specific mRNA codon recognition, and the 3' end, to which the tRNAs corresponding amino acid is attached (by aminoacyl-tRNA synthetases). tRNAs cope with the degeneracy of the genetic code in two manners: having more than one tRNA (with a specific anti-codon) for a particular amino acid; and 'wobble' base-pairing, i.e. permitting non-standard base-pairing at the 3rd anti-codon position.
Source: RNAcentral